GAUCGUACACAUUUGCGUUAGUGUACGGUUGAAUCGAGGGCGUCGCACCAGGCAGAGCACGCAAUCUCCGUCGACCGAAGGAGCACCAGGUAUUUCACUCGAGCAGUGGAGGCCAUGAGAGGGAGAUAGAAGAAGAAGCAGAGGCAGAAGCAAGUGGAAGGAGAACCUCGAGGUGCUGCGGCGCUCAGGCCUUGGUCGACUACGCCGCCCCUUCGCUCUCGCGCCGCCAGGGCCCUCUUGCUCUCAGCUUCCUCUCUUUCUCUCUCUCUCUCUCUCUCUCUCUCUCUCUCUAUAUAUAUAUAUAUAUAUAUAUAUAUAUAUAUAUAUAUAUAUAUAUCUCUCCCUCUCUCUCUCCUGUGCAUCUCAAUCAAUGGCCAGUGUCUGAUUUAUUGUUGAUUUGGCAGGGCAAGCUUGGCUGAUUUCCUGGUCCUGCUGCGAUUGGUUCCGGAUCUGACCGCAUACCUGUUUGUGUGUUCUACAGUCGUUUGUCAACAAGUCACCUUUUGGUUUGAUUGCAGGACCAGCUGUUGCACGCGGUGGUGCUCUGGGGCGUCGUCCCCAUCGUCGGAGCUUUCGGGAUCACCCUAUCUAAAACGGGGAGAAACUCUGGCAAUUCAUAUAAAUAUGUCGUUUCCUUCUUUUCCAUGUGAAGGACAAGGUAUGUGGAUGUUUCUGUUCAGAUAAAGCUGGAUUAGAUACAAUCAUGGAUGUGCAACCAUUAGUGUGUUCCUGGAUUUCUCAUUGUCUUUGUUUUCUUUCCUAAUUGCAAGAAGCUGUUAGCCUGUAGAGAGGAAUAAACCGGCCACAAAUUUGUGAUCAAUCGAGUGGAGAGUCUAUUCGUUUGUUAGGUUAGACCGGCGACGUUGGCUGCAGCGGGACAGACGACGUCGGUAACAAGCAGUUCCUCCUCUUUGCCUCUGACGAAAAGGAUCAUCUGGUGAUGAACACCUCCUCUUCUCUGGGCUGGUUCCCAAGGGGCAGGAUUGCAGUCCUCCAGAGCUGCUGGGAAGAAGAUGGGCAAGCUCCUCUUGCUCUUGUACCCCUCUACUAGACAAGCUGAAGUACUACAAGGACACAAUGGGGCAUUAUCUAAUGAGUUCUGGAAAUAGGUAAUCAUUAAGUAGAACCAUGAAGGCAAUGAUGGGGCAAAGCUUCUCUAGGAAAGGACUUGCGAUCCCCUUCGAGUACCGAGCGGUGGCACCGGGUAAGACGUUGAUGCAUCAAAAGACGGGUCUCGGCUGCAGUCUCCCUCCCUGCCCUGGAAUCCAAGCAUUUGUUGCAUAAAUGCGUGAGCUCCAUCUGUCCAUCCCUGUACCGAGCAGCAGAACGCACGCAAGAGGAUCAAGCCCAACCUAACGGACGCUACUCCUUCCUACACACCCCUGUGUCCCGUUCAGCUGGUGGGAUCUCACUUUUCGCUCUCUUUUCCUAAUUACAGUAUUUCGCAAGCUGGUAGAACUUGCAUGCCCAUAAGGCCAUAACAUAGGUUUCUUUGAUCAUUCUUGAUAACAAGAUAAAUUUAGAAUAUGGUCAUGAGAACUUUGGUUAUAUGUUGUCAUUUGGUUUAGAACUAUGUAGCUAUAGGCAUAUAUUUAAUUCAGCACAAUAUAUGUUAGAUCAAACAACUGAAUCCAUGUGUUACAAACGUUUGAUUUUGCCC
Long non-coding RNA from Aegilops tauschii subsp. strangulata, 1660 nucleotides. RefSeq lists it as uncharacterized. Lineage: Eukaryota; Viridiplantae; Streptophyta; Magnoliopsida; Poales; Poaceae. The record is from RefSeq and is a predicted model, not a curated record.